GACGAACGCUGGCGGCGUGCCUAAUACAUGCAAGUAGAACGCUGAAGGAGGAGCUUGCUUCUCUGGAUGAGUUGCGAACGGGUGAGUAACGCGUAGGUAACCUGCCUGGUAGCGGGGGAUAACUAUUGGAAACGAUAGCUAAUACCGUAUAAGAGUAGAUGUUGCAUGACAUUUGCUUAAAAGGUGCAAUUGCAUCACUACCAGAUGGACCUGCGUUGUAUUAGCUAGUUGGUGGGGUAACGGCUUACCAAGGCGACGAUACAUAGCCGACCUGAGAGGGUGAUCGGCCACACUGGGACUGAGACACGGCCCAGACUCCUACGGGAGGCAGCAGUAGGGAAUCUUCGGCAAUGGACGGAAGUCUGACCGAGCAACGCCGCGUGAGUGAAGAAGGUUUUCGGAUCGUAAAGCUCUGUUGUAAGAGAAGAACGAGUGUGAGAGUGGAAAGUUCACACUGUGACGGUAUCUGACCAGAAAGGGACGGCUAACUACGUG
RNAcentral lists this ribosomal RNA (495 nucleotides) under uncultured bacterium. RNAcentral describes it as "partial 16S ribosomal RNA". It matches the Rfam family "Bacterial small subunit ribosomal RNA", at positions 28 to 507 of the family's 1533-position model. The record is from RNAcentral.